UGCCCCGCAAGCCAGGGAGCGGUGCCAUUGCUCCAGGAAGUCGCCUGGCCUGAGACUUUCCUAAAUUCUACCCAGACUCAGCGCCCAGAGCCUGCUUCAGCCUUCAGCCCUCUUCUUCCUGCCGAGGCGAGGGGGCUGCUGGGAGGUUUUGGUCCUGCAGACUCGAGAGUCGCUGGGAGGAGAGGAAAGUAUGUCGGCCCCAGGUCCCGGGCUCUGCUCCUGCGCUCUGGCCUCCGGUUUCUCUGGGCGUAGGAGAGGAGGGCAGGGAUCCUGUGAAUAAAAUGGCGCAGACGUGCUUGUGCGGCUUUCCUGCUGGAGUCCAUGAGCGUCUCGAGGAUUUGCAUCCAUGUGCUCAUAAGCAAUGGGAGUGAAUGAAGAGCCAGGCCCAGCAACAGAGGGGAGCCUGCCCACAUGGAGCAAAAGGAGCCGGACACCAGAUUCACCCACGGCGCGAUCCCGGUGACGGAGGCAGUGUGAGCAGGCAGGCGGCGGCCACUCUGGGGAAGGGAGAAGGAAUGAGGGUGAGAGGGGCACAGAGGGCCUCCAGGGAGACGGUCCUAUUGUGCCUCUUCUCCUGGGUGUCUGUCACCUGCAUGCAAACUUUGUGAUCAUUCACUGAGUCACGUUUUCUUACAUGUCUCCUUAAAAACAGUU
This 654-nucleotide long non-coding RNA is filed under the name Homo sapiens (human). RNAcentral describes it as "HSALNT0355325". The record is from RNAcentral. Lineage: Eukaryota; Metazoa; Chordata; Mammalia; Primates; Hominidae.